This 5134-nucleotide long non-coding RNA is filed under the name Setaria italica (foxtail millet). RNAcentral describes it as "long non-coding RNA (SITA_LNC004015)". The record is from RNAcentral. Lineage: Eukaryota; Viridiplantae; Streptophyta; Magnoliopsida; Poales; Poaceae.
UGCAUAUCACCAGUACUAAGGUUUGCUCCUUCAACAAAUAUCGGUAGAUAAACUUUUGAACCUCUGCUUAGAUUCUUUAUGUCACAGUUCCCACCAUUCUCCCUUCCAGGAAUGGUUCUAGCUGCUCCAUUUGCAAUUUUGUGCCAUUCAGCAGUUCCCUCUUGGAUCUGCAUGACAUUGUAAUUGUAUUCAUUACAAACAUGGCACUUCUACCAAACAGGUGGAAAGAUGUACUUUAGAUCUGCUAGCUAAUAUAUGCAUAUAGAACUCUUAACUUGUGUUGUAGGAAAUACAAAGUGUAGAAUGUUCUUAUAUGCACUUCCCACAGUGAAAAACAACAUUAUUAAAAGAUGGUAGUGGAUGGUUGCAAACCCUCAGUUUGUUGUAGGUGAUGCAAAUUUUACAUUUAAUCCAAGGCAUUAAAGUGAAAAAAUUGACCAUGCCUUCCCAAGUAAGCAGUUCUCAGGGGUCGGUAAAUGAACAAGGGGCCUCUGGUGCAGAACUUCACACAGUUUAAGGGUCUCUUGGUUUGUCUCAGCCAAUCUUUUCUCCCUUUCAUUCCAUAUAUUAAGAAGUUCAACUGAUGGUGCAGUUCCUACCAUACCAGGAUGAGUUAAUCCUGGAAAACGAACACCUGGUAUACACAAAUUGGAAUAUUUAAGGAUCAAAAACUGGAAAGCUUCAUUCCCAGCAACAACAAGAAACUUUUUUAAAAAGCAACUGCCAAGAGCUUGUACGAGUACAACAAAAAACUUUACCUGGUAUCUGAGGGGAGUAUGCAUAAAUUCCUUCAAAAUACCAAAUGGCUUUUCUUGCGCUAGGGAAGUGGUCAGUUAAGAAUCCACCACCAUUCUCCCUUUCGAGUAUUGCAGUAUAAUCCCACUCAUCGCCAGGAAGUGGUCCAAGGUUGCAGAUCUCUACUACUAGAAGAUCACCAGGUGAAGCUGGAACCCCUUCAGAAUCAACUAUUCUUAGCGGACCACUAAGAUAAUGAGCCUGUGGAACAUCCGUAGUCAGUUUGGCUCACAAUGAAAGCACUGGAACAAAAGAAAAAUUAAAUGAUAUCUUCACAAGAAAAAUACAAACUUACAAUUGUGAAAUCCAUGGAUUUCAUAUCAUCUGCAGAGUUAUCAUCCCUAACCCGGCCUCCACUCCAAUCAACCAUCUCAACACGGAACAAUUCCCCUUCAGUUACAUCAGCAACAGGAGGGAUAUCUGGAUGCCAGCAGUUAUGGAGAGGGACCUUUUGCUCCCAUGGCUGCUUCUUCACAUUUAUGGGCACUACUAAUCUUGGGGGUCAGAGGAGCCAUGUUUCAUUACAGUAUCUCCUCAAGAGCUUCCCAUUGGAAGCUUGGUGCACCUUUAUAAUGGCAGGAUAUGCAUGCUGACGAGACUGCUAAUGGUAAAAACAGGAAGGCAAAAAGGAAUCCCAGGAAAACAUUUUUCAAACAAACUUCCACUUGGGAAGCUCACUUGAAUAUGAGCUGUGGAUCUGAUAACUAGAAUUCAUGUUCCGUUUUCAAAGAAAUAUUCCAAAAGGAAUAGGCACAGUUUUACCUUGCAAUACUAUUCAUGUGUUUAGAGUUGCUUUACAUAACCGAGUCACUAUCAGGUAAGAAAUUUCUUGUUGGUCCCACCCAUCCCUAUAGACUAUCCAGAGCUAAGACGUUGAGAUAUUUUCUUGUACAACAGCAGUACCAGCCAACUUGGCUUGUCUUAUUCAUUUUUGUUUUCCACAGGUAACAUGCAACACUUGGGUACUUGAGCACAUUUUGUUUUUGGCAAUACUCCAACAUAAAUUGAAUGUCCAUUUCCCCGCAACACUAAGGGCUGUCACCAAACAAAGUUUGUCUUCCUGCUAAACUGGACAACACUAUAGAAGCAGGGAUAUUUAAAGCUGGCUUCUUUUAAGAAUAUCUGCAACAUGCUAGUAGGUAGCUAGAAAUUUUAUAUUAGUUGCAAGAAAUAGAAUUCAGAAGUAAUAAUACAAUAAACUACAUUAGUAUUUCAUUUUUAAAAGUUAUGGGCAGUACUGUAUAACUUUCCCAUUACAGGAUAUAGUUAUUACUCUUGAGCCAACAGUGGGAAUACAAAUUUACCAGAGCGUACGAAAUACAAUUAACACAAUAUUAUUAAUCCAAAUCCCUAUUCAGCAAAUUGUUGGUACAACCUGGAAAUAAUAAAAAAAUGCAUAAAUCGAGAGUUAAAGGCUCAACUUAUUUCCACAAAAAAUGAGCAUUUUAGCACUUAAUUACCCAUGCUAUCACCAAAGCUGCUUCAUCUUACUAAACUUUACAUGUCAUAAAGCUUGUGCUUUCAGCUCCUAACAUAAACUUUAUGACAUGUAAACUCAAACCUAGCCGAAUCCAUCCAAAUUGGGGCCUCUAUCUGAAACUGUUACAAAUUGGUCUAAUAUCUGACAAUGUGAAUCUUGCAAGUUAGGUAAAUCUGUUACAUCAUUCAUUCAAGGGACGACAUGGUAUUUCUACUUUUGCUGGCAACACCGAUCAUAGUACCACUCUCCUUUAGUGACUUUCACAUGAAUCACCACCCUAAAUAAGUAAGUUUCUAGAGAGGGAAAUUAAAUUUCAACAUUAUUCAUAGCACGACUUUGUAGCAAUACAGAAAAUAUGACACCACUCAGGUGUUUCUAUCCUCAUACAUGAUUAUUGUCUGACAAACUAAAGAUCAACAUUCUGGAUUCCAGGUCACAUACAUAGAUGAUUCCUGGAAGUUGGAAAUAUAAAGAUGAUUAUUUAUAUGUAUAAGUAGAACGAUACUCAUCAAUUUCUAGAUGAUAUGCAUCUCUAGGGUACACUUCUACCACUUUGGUCUUGGGUGACAGGAAGGUGUCCAUCAUUUGAGCAGCUCAGAAGAUCUGGAAGUCUUAUCAGUUUUGGUCCUGGUCUCCCUUUCAAGUGUUUUGGCCUUAUAUCCUACAACAGCAAUUGAAAUAUUAUGCAUCGAAGUUUUGAGAAAAAAGUAUAAGUUUAGAAGAAUAUGUACAAAGGAAGAAUAUACUCUCUUGACUUGUCUAUUGAUAUUGAACCCUUGGAACUUUAAAAUAAAGCAAUGCUACCAGCAGACUAGUAUAUAUUUGACUAAUUUGCUACAGAGUAGAAAAGGUCAAGUUCCAUCUUGAAAUAGUAAGCAAAAUAGGUCUGAUCCUUACUGAAAAAUGAUAUGUUUGCUCUGGCUAUUGUGACUGCUUCAUAUAAAAUCCAGGAAGUAAUAUUUACAAGUUGUUCUUCUAGUUUGAUCAUAACAGCAACCGUCAGGGGAAAGUGUGUUUUAGAAUGUUGAGGCUCUUGUAUUACUGACUGCUAUAUAAGAAAAUAAUUUGGUGAUACAUGCCACUGAUGCACUGACCAAGUGCUAUCAGGCUUACUCAUAUGAUCUACUUUUAACAAAAUGUAUAAAGUAAUAUAAAUCUACUCAUGAGUCACAUGCACUACCUUUUUCUCUCUCCAAUAACAUCAAUUCACUAAUGUUUGGUGUAAAAUUUAAUCUCAUCAGCAUCAACAUUGAUCCGCUGUGAUUUGAACAGCCUACUCAUGAGUCACAUGCACUACCUUUUUCUCUCUCCAAUAACAUACCAGCAGCUCAUGUUAGAUACUUAGAUACAAUAUCAGACAAAAGGAAUAAGUCAUGAUCUAUAAAAAAAUAUUUUAACUAAUCUAAUAAUUUUAAGGAGCAAAGGAAAUUGGUGUUGGUCUGUUGAAGGCAAACCUGGUCAAAUAUUGCUGUAGGGAUGGCAAGAGUUGCCACUGCAUUAGGAGAGUCUACUAUUCCAGAUAUCCUACCCUCACAUGGACAGCAAGAUAGUAAGAGAUAUACCUGUAUAAAAUCCCCAAUACCCGAUGUUAAGAUAAUAUUCGGCACAAAUGAUACUUCAAGAUAACAGUUAGCUACCCAACUGCCUACCUGCUCCUUGGAGUACCCAAAUCUGGAAAGGUACUCAAUGGCAUUCAGAACUGCACGCUUGUAGGCAACUGAUGCAUCAAGGAAAUGCUGCUUCCCAGACUCAUCCACACUGAUGCCCUCAAACACUAACCAUUCUGAGAAGCGUGGCUCGACAGGACCUAUCUCGAAGAUAGGAUUCACAUGUAGUGACGUUGGACCAACUGGGGUCAUGUAUUCCUUCAUCCCACCUCUUAUGAUCUCACACCUAUAUAGAAUGCAAGAGAGAUUCUGUUACUUUGGAGAAGCGUACAAGGGAACGUGAGUUUGCAUAGGCAGAUUUACAUCAGCUGUAGGGUUCAGAAUAAUUGAUCAGGCUACAUCGCAACACACAAAUGGAGCGAGUUUGAUCCCACCAAAUAAUUCACUAUGCCAGAAUAUAUGAACCACAAAUCAUGAGCUAUCUGAUAAGUCUCAUGCAAGCAGCGAUGAAGAAUUGAAGAUUUUUUCUCAAAUACGCAGGAGAACUGCAUAUCAUUGCAUUAAGAUAGAAGGAAAAAAAGGCCAAAAUAGCCAUAUGAAGAAUUGAAGAUGACUGGUGCUAGUGUACUAGGCUAGUAUCUUUAUAAAAAAUGAUGGAAUCUAAUAAUAUGAAGUUUUCCUACACUAGUGAAUCUGAUAUUCUAAUUUGACACAAUUGGUUUUUUGUUUAUAUCAUUAGAGGUCGACUAGACAAAUAUAAGAUGUCAGACAUGUUUAUGAAACAUAAUAUAACAAGUAGUAUUGAAGUGUACAUAAUGACAAAAUUUAUUACUUGAGCUCAAGGAAUCCACUCAUUUCAAUUGCACCACAAAAUGAAACUUCACCAUCGCCCUGGGAGAAGUGCAUAUCACCAGUACUAAGAUUUGCUCCUUCAACAAAUACUGGUAGAUAAACUUUGGAACCUCUGCUUAGAUUCUUUAUGUCACAGUUCCCGCCAUUCUCCCUUCCAGGAAUAGUUCUGGCUGCUUCAUUUGCCAUUUUGUGCCAUUCAGCUGUCCCUUUCUGAAUCUGCACAGAAUUGUAUUAAUUAUGAACAUGGCACUUACAAAGAAACAGAUAGCAAGAUAUAAUUCAGAUCUGCUAGACAAUAUCUGCAUAUAGAACUGCAUUACUGGUGCCAUAGGUCAAAAAAAAAAUCAUACAGAUGCGAUUCAACCCUUUGCAGAUUGAAAGACACAAAUCUUGAAGCAAC